CAGCAGCCGCGGUAAUACAGAGGGUGCGAGCGUUAAUCGGAUUUACUGGGCGUAAAGCGUGCGUAGGCGGCUUUUUAAGUCGGAUGUGAAAUCCCUGAGCUUAACUUAGGAAUUGCAUUCGAUACUGGGAAGCUAGAGUAUGGGAGAGGAUGGUAGAAUUCCAGGUGUAGCGGUGAAAUGCGUAGAGAUCUGGAGGAAUACCGAUGGCGAAGGCAGCCAUCUGGCCUAAUACUGACGCUGAGGUACGAAAGCAUGGGGAGCAAACAGGAUUAGAUACCCCGGUAGUCCCUGUCUCUAUACA
Molecule: ribosomal RNA, 301 nt
Filed under: uncultured bacterium
Lineage: Bacteria
Description: partial 16S ribosomal RNA
Rfam family: Bacterial small subunit ribosomal RNA
Source: RNAcentral